This 256-nucleotide ribosomal RNA is filed under the name uncultured bacterium. RNAcentral's name for it is "partial 16S ribosomal RNA". It matches the Rfam family "Bacterial small subunit ribosomal RNA", at positions 524 to 775 of the family's 1533-position model. The record is from RNAcentral.
GACGUAGGAGGCGAGCGUUGUCCGGAAUUACUGGGCGUAAAGCGCGUGUAGGCGGCCGCUUACGUGUGGGAUGAAAGCCCCCUGCUCAACGGGGGGAGUGUUCCACAAACGGGGGGGCUCCGUGGAGUGUGGAGGGGGAGUGCGGAAUGGCCGGUGGAGCGGUGAAAUGCGUAGAGAUCGGUCAGAACACCAGUGGCGAAGGCGGCACUCUAGGCCACAACUGACGCUGAGACGCGAAAGCGUGGGGAGCGAACGG